AGGUACUCCAUUGUCUGAUGGAUCUGAGAACGCUGUCUGGGCUUGGUACCAAGAGCUGGUAUUUCACAGCAGCGACCGCCUCACAGACGAGCUGUGGGAAGCAGGAGGGAGACUCUCUCUUAGGGUGCCACUACUAUGGAGACACAGCUGGGCUGAACAAGAUUUGCUUCAAACGACAACAAGAGAGACAGAAAGUAUCUGGUUCAACCGCUGCCCGAGCAGGCAGGCACCAGAAGAGCUAGCAGCCAAUCCGGCCAUGCUCGAAGCCAGCUCUGCAGCUCAGCCAAUCAGUGACAUCAUUGCUUUCUUUAGCUUGCCCAUGGUGAUGUGAAGAUGAGAAGAAAUAGCAAGGCCCAACCAGUUCUUCAUCUGGAGACAGUUCAACGUUCUGCAAACCAGGACAGUACUACAGAAGGACUAAGUAUAUAGGAAACUUGACUUAUUUAAAUAAGGCAGUGAAAAAAAUAGAAUAUGGGGAGUAAAACAACCUCUGAAGCUAAGUCUGCAUAUAUAAUAACUGGAUCUUCAGGAAUUUUACUGGGAUAAUUAUCCAAAUAAAUUGCAAGCAUUCUAUCCAAAUGGAGCUCUUUCUGAGAUGAAGAGAAUUCUCAAUGUCAAGAUUUGAACAAGAAGAGAAUGGAAUACACAAUAUGGACAUCCAUAAAAAUUCAUCAGAGAGCAUUUUACUACUGAGCUGCAAAGGUAGGAAAAAUAAAUUUUUUUUGGUUAGAAAAUAUACUUCUUUCAUCUGCGUUUCAAUAAUUUAUUCCCCUUGUUAGAUAUACAUGGAAUUGAUAUUGCUUAUUCUGACUAAGUGAAAAGUGUUAUUUCUACUUACUGCUCAAUUAGAAACAUGUAGUGUUUAAUUGUCAGUUUGAAUUUUUCUUUCAUACUAUUACAGUUUAUAUUUUACUAUAGGCAGAAUUUCCUCUUUAUCCUAAAUUUUGAUAUUCUCCAUAAUUUCAUCGUGCCUUGACAUUGCUGUAUAUAAUUUCUAUACAUCAGGAAGGCAAUUCUGUGUGCAUGUGUGUGUGUAUAUAUAUAGUUAGAAGUUAGAAACUGAAACUCUUUUUUGUCUACCAUCAUUUCAUAUUUUUCUUGCUAUUUCAAACCUAUAAUUUUUAAAGAAACGACUAACGUAAUCAUUCAUAGAAUAUGCUGUCAGUAACUUAACAAUAUAAAUGUUAACAUGGAGGCAUUUAGUUCAGCAUUUGCUUUACUUAAUAGAGUGCAGAAAAUGUGGCCCUUUUCUCAGUUAGGGUGUAUGUGAAGAUAAAUUUAGAAUUUCUAGACUAGUAAAUACUUCUCUGAUAAUAACUUAAUUAUAGCUAUUUCAAACCAAAUUGUUUAAUUGUGGUGAAUCAUAUGUAAAUUGUUCAGAUGUAGGUCAACACCCACGCCCACAUUCUAGCACCUCUUUCCUAAUUCAAGACAACUUUGCAGUGCCUAAAAGAGCUGAACAGUGCAGAUUAGAGACAUAAGACAAAAAAAAAAAAAAAA
This 1500-nucleotide long non-coding RNA is filed under the name Homo sapiens (human). RNAcentral describes it as "mir-99a-let-7c cluster host gene". Lineage: Eukaryota; Metazoa; Chordata; Mammalia; Primates; Hominidae. The record is from RNAcentral.